Cyprinus carpio (common carp) is the source of this 1002-nucleotide long non-coding RNA. RefSeq lists it as uncharacterized. The transcript is spliced from 2 exons. The record is from RefSeq and is a predicted model, not a curated record. NCBI's taxonomy places the organism in Eukaryota, Metazoa, Chordata, Actinopteri, Cypriniformes, Cyprinidae.
UCUCUGUGGGUUUUGUGGGUCUGGAGAGUUACGUAGAAGCGCCUGCCGUUUUUCCUGACAACGCUGAGCCCUACGCAGGACCACUGCUCUGGGCAUGUCAUCUGCUGUGUUUCCUCAGCUCACAGAGAGACAGGGCUGUAAUGGGUCUUGGUCAUGGCAGCUACUGCUUUGCACUCCUGCGGUCCAUCCCAGCUGUGUUUUACGUAGUUCUGGUCACCUCGCUCCGAUACCACCUUUUCAUCUGGAGCGUGUUUUCUCCGAAACUCUUAUAUGAGGCCAUGCACACCCUCAUCACCACCGCUGUGUGUCUGUUUUUCACCUUUAUGGAUCAGGAACUCUCGGCCAGACCGUGAAUACAGAACCAGAACCAGAACCAAAGCCAAACUCAGGUACAGAACAAACGGUGCAGUUGAGUUUUGUGCACCAAAAGAAGAAAUAAAUUGAGAGAAAAAGCGAUGGGAGAAGGUUUUAGGUAAUUCUACUACUGUGAAUGAGGUCAACGUUGAGAAUUCAGAGCUUACAUGGAGAUUUGGCUCACUCUAUUGACUUUCACUCAUUUGUGUAUAUGGGAUUAAAUUAUUUUUAUAUUAUUUUGGGAGGUCAUUGAUAGUGCAGAUAACAUAUGGCAAGACUUGUGGGCAUACAUAUGAUUUUCCCUCUCAUUCUCUAUGCAGUUUUCUUUCUAAAGCUUUACAGAUAAUGGAGAGUGUAAUUCUUUUUGAAUCUUGCAAUUUCCGCUCCUGACCGUUGCUUCACCUCUAGAAUAAUACGAGAUAAGAUACAUCAUUAAUAACUCUCCCCUCACUGAGAUCACAGCAGAUAUUAUCCUCAUGCACUUGAAAGCUUUAAGGGAUCUUAAAAGUCUUUUAAAUCAUAUCUAAACACAGCUACACGUGACGUUUUUGUUUAAUCAGCCUGUUGGAAAUGUAAAUUGUAAGCUGAUUUAUCUUGGAAAGUGUUGUUUCUUAGAUCUGGUUAAUAAUAAAAUAAACCCAUUUCUGA